This is a ribosomal RNA of Clostridium butyricum, 1465 nucleotides long. It matches the Rfam family "Bacterial large subunit ribosomal RNA", at positions 1 to 1470 of the family's 2925-position model. The record is from Rfam. Lineage: Bacteria; Bacillati; Bacillota; Clostridia; Eubacteriales; Clostridiaceae.
GGUCAAGCUACAAAGGGCGCAUGGUGAAUGCCUUGGCAUCAGGAGCCGAUGAAGGACGUGAUAAGCUGCGAUAAGCUUCGGGUAGGCGCACAUAGCCAGAGAUCCGGAGAUUUCCGAAUGGGGAAACCCGCAUGAGAAACCUCAUGCAUCGUAAAGUGAAUACAUAGCUUUAUGAAGGAACACCUAGGGAACUGAAACAUCUAAGUACCUAGAGGAAGAGAAAGAAAAAUCGAUUUUCUUAGUAGCGGCGAGCGAAAAGGAAAGAGCCCAAACCAGAGAUUUAUCUUUGGGGUUGCGGACAGAACAUAACGUGAAAUUAUGAUUAACCGAACACAACUGGAAAGUUGGACCGUAGGAGGUAAUAGUCCUGUAAGUAAAAGUCAUAAUGAUCAGUUCUGCACCAGAGUACCACGAGACACGUGAAACCUUGUGGGAAGCAGGGAGGACCACCUCCCAAGGCUAAAUACUACCUGAUGACCGAUAGUGAAGCAGUACCGUGAGGGAAAGGUGAAAAGAACCCCGGGAGGGGAGUGAAAUAGAACCUGAAACCAUGUGCCUACAACCGAUCAAAGCACCUUAUGUGUGUGAUGAUGUGCUUUUUGUAGAACGAGCCAACGAGUUACGGUAUGUAGCGAGGUUAAGUACUUAAGGUACGGAGCCGAAGGGAAACCGAGUCUUAAUAGGGCGACUAGUUGCAUGCUGUAGACCCGAAACCGGGUGACCUAUCCAUGGCCAGGUUGAAGCGAGGGUAAAACCUCGUGGAGGACCGAACCACGUUGCUGUUGAAAAAGCAUGGGAUGAGCUGUGGAUAGCGGAGAAAUUCCAAUCGAACUCGGAUAUAGCUGGUUCUCCUCGAAAUAGCUUUAGGGCUAGCGUCGUGAAAUGUGAGUACUGGAGGUAGAGCACUGAAUAGGCUAGGGGGCAUAGCGCUUACCGAACCUUAUCAAACUCCGAAUGCCAGAUACUAUCAGCACGGCAGUCAGACUAUGAAAGAUAAGUUCCAUGGUCAAAAGGGAAACAGCCCAGAUCGUCAGCUAAGGUCCCAAAGUGUAAGUUAAGUGGAAAAGGAUGUGGGAUUUCUAAGACAACUAGGAUGUUGGCUUAGAAGCAGCCACUCAUUAAAAGAGUGCGUAAUAGCUCACUAGUCAAGAGAUCCUGCGCCGAAAAUGUCCGGGGCUCAAACUUACCACCGAAGCUACGGGUUCACACUUAUGUGUGAGCGGUAGAGGAGCGUCGUAAUCGGGCUGAAGUCGUACCGUAAGGAGCGGUGGACUGAUUACGAGUGAGAAUGUUGGCAUUAGUAGCGAGAUGUAGGUGAGAAUCCUACAGGCCGAAUAUCUAAGGUUUCCUGAGUAAAGUUUGUCUUCUCAGGGUUAGUCGGGACCUAAGGCGAGGCCGAGAGGCGUAGUCGAUGGACAAUUGGUUGAUAUUCCAAUACCACUAUAAUCGUUAUUAUCGAUGGUGU